This 70-nucleotide transfer RNA is filed under the name Disteniazteca fimbriata. RNAcentral's name for it is "tRNA-Lys". Lineage: Eukaryota; Metazoa; Arthropoda; Insecta; Coleoptera; Cerambycidae. The record is from RNAcentral.
CAUUAGAUGGCUGAAAGUAAGCAAUGGAAUUUUAAAUCAUUUUAUAGUAAAUAACGUCUACUUCUAAUGA